GAACCUGAAACAAGAAAUAACAAAAAGAAAAAGAAAAAUUGUUUAACUAAAACUGAAUUAAUUAAACUGAUAUUGAAAGUAAUAAAAUUAAAAAUUGUCCCCGACAACGGCGCCAAAAACUUGUUGGGUAAAAUCUCAAUUACGCACUGCACACAAUCAACAAGUAAUAUAAUGAUAAGUCAAGUAUCUCUCCAACAGAGACAAAUAUUAAUUUUAAUCUAACAAUUACCAGCUUUGUAUUAUUUCAAUUUUAUUAAACUAAUCGAAUUAAUGAUUGCAAUUAAUAAAAUCUAAUAAACUAGAAAUCAGAAUCAAUCAACACAACUAAUUAUCGCAAAUUUUAAUCAGAUAAUGGAGAUUAAGCCUACAACUUCACUUUAAGCUUCACUCAGAUUAUCACACUUCUUUUCAAUUCAAUUUACUAUCUCAGUUCAUUAAUCAAGAACACUAAAGUAGAAUUAGCCAUCUCUCGCUGCACUAACACCAUAUUAACUUAAUUCCACAAUUGAUAGAAUUAAGCCAAACACCC
This 529-nucleotide long non-coding RNA is filed under the name Panax ginseng (ginseng). Its description in RNAcentral is "long non-coding RNA (PGIN_LNC007352)". The record is from RNAcentral. Lineage: Eukaryota; Viridiplantae; Streptophyta; Magnoliopsida; Apiales; Araliaceae.